AGAGUUUGAUCAUGGCUCAGGAUGAACGCUAGCGACAGGCUUAACACAUGCAAGUCGAGGGGCAGCGGGGGUAGCAAUACCCGCCGGCGACCGGCGCACGGGUGAGUAACGCGUAUGCAACUUACCUAUCAGAGGGGGAUAACCCGGCGAAAGUCGGACUAAUACCGCAUGAAGCAGGGGCCCCGCAUGGGGAUAUUUGCUAAAGAUUCAUCGCUGAUAGAUAGGCAUGCGUUCCAUUAGGCAGUUGGCGGGGUAACGGCCCACCAAACCGACGAUGGAUAGGGGUUCUGAGAGGAAGGUCCCCCACAUUGGAACUGAGACACGGUCCAAACUCCUACGGGAGGCAGCA
RNAcentral lists this ribosomal RNA (349 nucleotides) under uncultured bacterium. Its description in RNAcentral is "bacterial SSU rRNA". It matches the Rfam family "Bacterial small subunit ribosomal RNA", at positions 8 to 353 of the family's 1533-position model. The record is from RNAcentral.